Long non-coding RNA from Hemibagrus wyckioides, 464 nucleotides. RefSeq lists it as uncharacterized. Lineage: Eukaryota; Metazoa; Chordata; Actinopteri; Siluriformes; Bagridae. The record is from RefSeq and is a predicted model, not a curated record. The transcript has 3 exons.
GGUAUUUGAGGGAGGGAAGGAGAAGAUAAGUUGAGUUUUAUCAGCAUAGCAUUCAUAAGAGAACCCAUGUGAGGAUAUAACUUCACCAGCAGAGAAUAGAGGGAGAAAAGGAGAGGACCGAGUGCUGAGCCUUGUGGGACACCAGUGGCGAGUCUGCAUUGAGCAGAUGUCAAUCCCUUCCAUGUUACCUGAUAUGAGCAACCAUCCAGGUCACUCUGGCUGAAGCUGAGGAGAAACAUCAGAAAGAUGUGGAGACCAUCCAUCAGCUGGAGAAAGAGAAAGAUGAGAUGAAGAAGACUCUGAACAACAAAGAGGAGUUUCUAAAGGUCACCUUGGCUCAAGCUGUGGAUGAUGUGGAGACCAUCGCUCAGCUGGAGAAGGAGAACGCUGACCUGAGAAUUGAGGUGGAGACUCUGAGAGACACAGUGAAGAUACUGGGGAAGAAGCUGUUUGAGUGUAACAGA